RNAcentral lists this ribosomal RNA (637 nucleotides) under Shewanella sp. UST020129-004. RNAcentral describes it as "bacterial SSU rRNA". It matches the Rfam family "Bacterial small subunit ribosomal RNA", at positions 401 to 1032 of the family's 1533-position model. The record is from RNAcentral. Lineage: Bacteria; Pseudomonadati; Pseudomonadota; Gammaproteobacteria; Alteromonadales; Shewanellaceae.
GUGUGUGAAGAAGGCCUUCGGGUUGUAAAGCACUUUCAGCGAGGAGGAAAGGUUAACGGUUAAUACCCGUUAGCUGUGACGUUACUCGCAGAAGAAGCACCGGCUAACUUCGUGCCAGCAGCCGCGGUAAUACGAGGGGUGCAAGCGUUAAUCGGAAUUACUGGGCGUAAAGCGUACGCAGGCGGUUUGUUAAGCGAGAUGUGAAAGCCCCGGGCUCAACCUGGGAACUGCAUUUCGAACUGGCAAACUAGAGUCUUGUAGAGGGGGGUAGAAUUUCAGGUGUAGCGGUGAAAUGCGUAGAGAUCUGAAGGAAUACCGGUGGCGAAGGCGGCCCCCUGGACAAAGACUGACGCUCAGGUACGAAAGCGUGGGGAGCAAACAGGAUUAGAUACCCUGGUAGUCCACGCCGUAAACGAUGUCUACUCGGAAUUUGGUGUCUUGAACACUGGGUUCUCAAGCUAACGCAUUAAGUAGACCGCCUGGGGAGUACGGCCGCAAGGUUAAAACUCAAAUGAAUUGACGGGGGCCCGCACAAGCGGUGGAGCAUGUGGUUUAAUUCGAUGCAACGCGAAGAACCUUACCUACUCUUGACAUCCAGAGAAUUUACCAGAGAGGUUUAGUGCUUCGGGAACGCUAC